AAAAAGACAAACCCUGGUUUCCGUGCCCAACGUUUGACCGUCUGUCUUAUUUCAAAUAAUUAUGAAAAAAUUAAAAGACAAGUCACACAUAAAAUAUUAAUCAUGUUUUAUCAUCUAACAACAAUGAAAAUAUGAAUUACAAAAAAAUUUCAUAUAAGACGGACAGUCAAAGUUGGACACGGAAACCCAGGGUUUGUCUUUUU
This 203-nucleotide microRNA precursor is filed under the name Oryza nivara. RNAcentral describes it as "MIR812 microRNA precursor family". It matches the Rfam family "MIR812 microRNA precursor family". The record is from Rfam by way of RNAcentral. Lineage: Eukaryota; Viridiplantae; Streptophyta; Magnoliopsida; Poales; Poaceae.